RNAcentral lists this ribosomal RNA (449 nucleotides) under uncultured soil bacterium. RNAcentral describes it as "bacterial SSU rRNA". It matches the Rfam family "Bacterial small subunit ribosomal RNA", at positions 26 to 486 of the family's 1533-position model. The record is from RNAcentral.
AGAAUCAACGCUGGCGGCGUGCCUAACACAUGCAAGUCGAGCGCGAAUAGGGGGGCAACCCCCUUAGUAGAGCGGCGAACGGGUGAGUAACGCGUGGGUGAUCUGCCUCCGAGUGGGGGAAUAACACCGGGAAACUGGUGCUAAUACCGCAUGACAUCUUCGGGUCACACUGAAAAUCAAAGCCGGGGACCGUAAGGCCUGGCGCUUGGAGAGGAGCCCGCGUCCGAUUAGCUAGUUGGUGGGGUAAUGGCCUACCAAGGCUUCGAUCGGUAGCCGGCCUUAGAGGGCGGACGGCCACACUGGGACUGAGACACGGCCCAGACCUCCGUACGGGAGGCAGCAGUGGGGAAUUUUCGCAAGUGGGGGAACCUGACGGAAGCGAACGCCGGCGGUAGGACGGAGUAGAGGUCUUCGGGAUUAGUAAACCGUCCGUGUCCGGACCGGACGAA